CCGAGUCUCAGCUGAGCUCCUCACAGCAUCACCACCAAAUCAAAAACAAAAUUUUUAAAAAUCUUUUGUACUUUCAGACUCCUCCCCUUCUAUUUCUUCUGGAAAAACCUGUUACCAGACUGGAUGACAUCAUCUCACCUGUUGAACAGGAAAUAAGUCAACGGUUUAAACCCCAGACAGGGUCACUGUGGACAAACGUCUCCGGGUGUAUUCCAACCAGAAACCCUGGAUGACCAAACAGGUCCAGGCCCUGCUGAAGCAACGUCACUCCGCUUCCAGAUCCGGUGAUGGUAUGUAAUACCGUGGUGGGGCUCAUCUCUGUGGGAGACGAGACGGCAUACAGAGCUGAGGUUCAGAGGCUGUCGGAUUGGUGGGCAGACAACAACCUGGACCUCAACACCACCAAGACAAAAGAGCUGGUAGUCGACUCCAGAAGGAGGAAGUCUGUGCUACAGCCCAUCAGCAUGAGUGGGGAGUGCGUGGAAAGGGUGUCUCGUUUCAAGUUCCUGGGUGUGCACAUAGACGCAGACCACUUUCUGACAAUCCUCAGAAAAAUGGACCUGAAGAAGGAGCUGCUGAUCAUCUUCUACCGCUGCUCCAUUGAAAGUGUGCUGACAUACUGCAUCGGUGUGUGGUUCUCCAGUUGCACCGUGGCACCCAUAAAGGCACUUCAGAGGGUCAUCAAUAUGGCCCAGAAAAGUCAUUGGACAUCCUCUUUCCUCCCUGAAGGACCUGUACAGCACAUGCUGGCUCCAGAGGCCAGGCAGCAUCCUACAGGACUGUACACACCCAGGACACGGGGUGUUUAAGCUGCUGCUGUCUGGCAGGAGGUUCAGGCUGCUGAGGUCGUGGACAGACAGACUCAAGGACAGUUUUACAACAGGACAACAGACCUACUCAAUGCUAACAGCUGACCUGAUUAGCUACCUCCAUACACUUUUGUGUUGUGUGUAACGCAGACCGGUGUGUAAAAAAUAUUAUUCAUUAGAAAGAAGGAAGAGAAGACAGGCUCGGACUUGCUAAGGUCUGCAGCUCAGGUUCAGUUCCAUUUGAAUGAUAUAGUUGUGAUUGUAUUUGACAGUAAAGACUUCCUGUGAUGUUAAAAAGCUGCUGG
Oreochromis aureus is the source of this 1114-nucleotide long non-coding RNA. NCBI's taxonomy places the organism in Eukaryota, Metazoa, Chordata, Actinopteri, Cichliformes, Cichlidae. The record is from Ensembl.